UUUGGUGUUAGGAAAAAAGAGUAUUUGACGCUUUGGGAUAAGUAUUAGGGAAUUUGGAGGGGGAUAUUACUGAGAUGCCAAGAGUUGUUAUUCCACGCAGAGGCCAGCUUGAGGCCAGUAUGGUCUGGGUGGAAGUGACCAUGGAUAAGGCUCCUCAGUGGAGCCUGGCUAGAGACCCAUCUAUCCAGCUAAAACUUGAUUUUUUUUUCCCCAUUGUGGAUAACCCAUUGAGAAGCUAGGGUGCAAUUUCCC
RNAcentral lists this long non-coding RNA (252 nucleotides) under Capsicum annuum. RNAcentral's name for it is "long non-coding RNA (CANN_LNC003108)". The record is from RNAcentral. Lineage: Eukaryota; Viridiplantae; Streptophyta; Magnoliopsida; Solanales; Solanaceae.